GUGGGCGUAGCUCAGUUGGUAGAGCACGGGAUUGUGACUCCCGUUGUCGAGGGUUCGACCCCUUCGUCCACCCCA
Molecule: transfer RNA, 75 nt
Filed under: Pseudomonas kitaguniensis
Lineage: Bacteria; Pseudomonadati; Pseudomonadota; Gammaproteobacteria; Pseudomonadales; Pseudomonadaceae
Description: tRNA-His
Rfam family: tRNA
About the family: Transfer RNA (tRNA) molecules are approximately 80 nucleotides in length.
Source: RNAcentral